AGCAGUAGCCACGGUAAUACGGAGGAUGCGAGCGUUAUUCGGAAUCAUUGGGUUUAAAGGGUCUGUAGGCGGGCUAUUAAGUCAGGGGUGAAAGGUUUCAGCUUAACUGAGAAAUUGCCUUUGAUACUGGUAGUCUCGAAUAUCUGUGAAGUUCUUGGAAUGUGUAGUGUAGCGGUGAAAUGCUUAGAUAUUACACAGAACACCGAUUGCGAAGGCAGGGGACUAACAGACAAUUGACGCUGAGAGACGAAAGCGUGGGGAGCGAACAGGAUUAGAGACCCGUGUAGUCCCUGUCUCUUAUAC
This 303-nucleotide ribosomal RNA is filed under the name uncultured bacterium. RNAcentral's name for it is "partial 16S ribosomal RNA". It matches the Rfam family "Bacterial small subunit ribosomal RNA", at positions 507 to 807 of the family's 1533-position model. The record is from RNAcentral.